AUAGUAAAUUGCAGAUAAUGUGAAACCGUGCAAAUCAAAACAAAUUAUUCGUCGCACGUUGCCCCGAAGCAAACAGACGAAAACAUAUACAUAUAGUAACCAUGAGCUGGGGUCGUGAUUUUUGUGGGUUUGUUCGAUUUUCGAGGGGCACGUGAGGCUUUUUUUUUGUCGCCUUAGCUGAUAGCAGAGAUCCUCGAUCUUUUGGAGUCUGGAAAUGUCUUGAAUGCUGCGGUGAGGUCUAGCUUUUUCUUGUCAGCGAUCAGUCGAGAUCUUUGCCUGCCGCGGGAAAGUUCUGUUAUUGAAUGGCGAUCCUCUUUUUUUUUGAAAACAACUCAAGUGUAUAGAAAUCACACAUACGCCGCAUUGGCCUUCGCCAGCUGUUCAUCUUCCUCCCCCAAACUGACCCCAGCCCCCCGGCUUGCAUUAAGGUGCACUUGACCAGAUCCAACGGGCUGGCCAACUCCGGGACCUGUGGUCGCUCAACUGGUCAGCAGUAGCAGUCGAAAUCCUGGCUUUGUUAUCAUGUCUGCGGCAGGCUUCCUUUGCUGCUACUGCGAAAUAAUGUGAUGUUUGCUGGGGAAAAUCUGUGCGAAUUCCAUAAGAGAAUUUCAGUAUUG
Drosophila gunungcola (fruit fly) is the source of this 617-nucleotide long non-coding RNA. RefSeq lists it as uncharacterized. The record is from RefSeq and is a predicted model, not a curated record. The transcript is spliced from 3 exons. Lineage: Eukaryota; Metazoa; Arthropoda; Insecta; Diptera; Drosophilidae.